UGCGCAGGCGGGCUUGUAAGUCAGUGGUGAAAUACUGCCGCUUAACGGUAGAACUGCCAUUGAUACUGCGAGUCUUGAAUAUGGUUGAGGUAGGCGGAAUGUGUUGUGUAGCGGUGAAAUGCAUAGAUAUGACACAGAACGCCGAUUGCGAAGGCAGCUUACUAAGCCAUUAUUGACGCUGAGGCACGAAAGUGUGGGGAGCGAACAGGAUUAGAUACCCUGGUAGUCC
RNAcentral lists this ribosomal RNA (229 nucleotides) under uncultured bacterium. RNAcentral describes it as "partial 16S ribosomal RNA". It matches the Rfam family "Bacterial small subunit ribosomal RNA", at positions 568 to 796 of the family's 1533-position model. The record is from RNAcentral.